UGAACAUUCCCCUUUGGAGGGAGGUCCCCUGAGCAGGGUCAGAGUGUAGUGACCCUGCCAGGUCCCUCUCCGCUUUGCAGAGGACUCAGAAGCCCCGCCCUUCUGCUCACACUCACAAGAGCCCCAUCUGGGGGAAGCCUCCUCCUGCGGGCAUUGCCAUGGCCACCAAGCUCCUCUUCUGUGUGGCCCUGUGUCUCCUGGGAGUAGGGCCCACGGAUGCUGGAGUCACCCAGACCCCUAGGCAUGAGGUGACAGAAAAGGGACAGGCAGUCACUCUGAGUUGUGAGCCGAUUAAAAGCCACGCUGCUCUUUUUUGGUACAGACAGACCUCGGUGCGGGGACUGGAACUGCUGAUAUAUUUCAACAACCAAUCUCCUGUCGACGAGUCAGGGAUGCCAAAGGACCGAUUCUCAGCUAAGAUGCCUAACGCAUCGUUCUCCACUCUGAAAAUCCAGCCCACAGAGCCUGGGGACUCGGCCACGUACCUCUGUGCCAGCAGCAAAGACACAGUGCUGUAG
Non-coding RNA from Capra hircus (goat), 518 nucleotides. The record is from the annotation of a RefSeq genome assembly. NCBI's taxonomy places the organism in Eukaryota, Metazoa, Chordata, Mammalia, Artiodactyla, Bovidae.